RNAcentral lists this long non-coding RNA (222 nucleotides) under Elaeis guineensis (African oil palm). RNAcentral's name for it is "long non-coding RNA (EGUI_LNC044951)". Lineage: Eukaryota; Viridiplantae; Streptophyta; Magnoliopsida; Arecales; Arecaceae. The record is from RNAcentral.
CGAAGAGGACGCCUUUGGGCAAUUCGGCCGGAGCCGACGUCGCCAGCUUGGAGAGAAGGUCAGCCCUAGUAUUUUCCAACCUUGGGAUCUAUCUAAUGUUGAAGCCGCUAAAGGCGGGAGUGAGCUCCUUUACCUUCUCAAGGUAUUUGGCCAUACUGUCCUCCCGCGCUUCGUAAUUCCCGCUGACUUGCCCCACCACCAGUUGAGAGUCACUGUGCACCC